Molecule: ribosomal RNA, 447 nt
Filed under: uncultured bacterium
Lineage: Bacteria
Description: partial 16S ribosomal RNA
Rfam family: Bacterial small subunit ribosomal RNA
Source: RNAcentral
AACGAACGCUGGCGGCAGGCCUAACACAUGCAAGUCGAACGCUCCGCAAGGGGAGUGGCACACGGGUGAGUAACGCGUGGGAAUCUACCUAUUAGUAAGGAAUAACAGUUGGAAUCGACUGCUAAUACCUUAUACGCCCUACGGGGGAAAGAUUUAUCGCUAAUAGAUGAGCCCGCGUAAGAUUAGCUAGUUGGUGAGGUAAUGGCUCACCAAGGCUACGAUCUUUAGCUGGCCUGAGAGGAUGAUCAGCCACACUGGAACUGAGACACGGUCCAGACUCCUACGGGAGGCAGCAGUGGGGAAUAUUGGACAAUGGGCGAAAGCCUGAUCCAGCCAUGCCGCGUGAAUGAUGAAGGCCUUAGGGUUGUAAAGUUCUUUCGCCGCCGAGGAUAAUGACGGUAAGCGGAUAAGAAGCCCCGGCUAACUUCGUGCCAGCAGCCGCCGUAA